Molecule: long non-coding RNA, 564 nt
Organism: Anas platyrhynchos (mallard)
Lineage: Eukaryota; Metazoa; Chordata; Aves; Anseriformes; Anatidae
Source: RefSeq, a predicted model, not a curated record
GCACCCUGCUGCUGGAGGGAUUAUUAAGAAAAUAAGAGACGGAGCUGAGUGCCGUGAGAUGGCCAGGGGUCUAGAUCACACAGUACACCAGGAAAAGCUGAGGGAACCAGAAUAUGGGUGGAAGAAGAGAUGCCAGAUAAGUAAAAAGAGAAGCUUCUGUAUGAGGAGAAAUUAAAGGGACCAGACCUCAAAGAGGAUUUUGGUCCUAAAUAUUCCAGGGAGAGAGAGAUGGGAAUAGAAGAAACACCAACUGUGAACAGCCACAAAUCUGCUUGCAUUUUGAAGCAACCAGCCAACUUAAAAACCAAAUGAGGCUUUCUUCCCUCAGUAACAAUCACAAACAAUGCACCUCCCAGAUUUUUAUUUUUUUAAAACUCCUUCAAUUCAUAAACCACAGGCUUUGCUAUGGCCUCAAUCCUUUGAGGAGAUCCUUGAACCCAUACAAUCCUUUACUAAGCUCCACGAGAACAGGUUUGGGAACCAGAUCAUAUACCUGUGGUAUUGUUUUUGUUGCACCUGUGUGUUAUGCUCCCAGCAUACCAUGUGCUUUGCAAAAAUCACAAA